Molecule: long non-coding RNA, 247 nt
Organism: Gorilla gorilla gorilla (western lowland gorilla)
Lineage: Eukaryota; Metazoa; Chordata; Mammalia; Primates; Hominidae
Exons: 3
Source: RefSeq, a predicted model, not a curated record
UGAAGCUGUAUGUCUGUUGGUUCCUGCUUGACCUUCAGAUGUUCCACAUCCUCCAAGAGCACUUCAGAAUGUCCAUGUUCAUGGUCUGGAGCCUGAAGGCAGGAAGCCACCUGACACGUUUUGAGGGCACUCAAGCAGCCCCAUGAAGAGUACCAACAUGGUAAAGAACUAAGACCUCCUGCCAACAGCCAAUCUUCAACUACAGCCACAGCCUCCUCCCCACUCUCUGGAUGGUGCUCCCGCACCC